This is a long non-coding RNA of Cephus cinctus (wheat stem sawfly), 1317 nucleotides long. RefSeq lists it as uncharacterized. The record is from RefSeq and is a predicted model, not a curated record. The transcript has 7 exons. Lineage: Eukaryota; Metazoa; Arthropoda; Insecta; Hymenoptera; Cephidae.
GAGAUAUGGCAGCUCGUGGCGAAAUGAAGCAGAUGAAGGAAAUUACAUCAAGGAAAGUUGGAAAUAUUUAAUUACUUAACACGAGUCAAAGCAGUAACUACGUAGGCAACAAUACCUAAUAGCAAAAAAAAAACAUGGCAGACAGUGUGACACGUGCAAGAAGAACAGAAGAUGCUGAAAAAGAAGAAAUAAUAUAAAGCUGGAGUUAUCCAAUCUCGUAUCUCCAGUUUCCAUGAAUACUGUUGGAAAAAAAUUCAGUAAUGGCGUACAGACUUUUUAGGUUUCGUUUGCACUUUUCGAAAACGUCCAUUGAAAAACUUUCAUCUAAACAAAAAUUGUCUCAACGUUUAUCCCACGUCUAAUACGAAACAUCCCGGAUAUCCAGAUUGUAUUAAAAUCUAUACUAAGAUGUUGUUAACGGCAACACAAAUAGUCUGCACACAAAGAACAGCCAUCUUGUAACUCGUUACGUAUUCGAAUUUAAAAUAUCGUCAUUACAGAUUCACAGCCCGUCACCGACUUUAAAAGAAACCUUUAGGUAAAAGACUUAAGGAUCCACGCAGGGAUUUAAAACUUCUCAGGACCACUUUUGGACCCUUGCGUCACCGACUAACCAUCGCUUCAAAAUUUAUCCUAAGGAGCCAUCGUUAUGUAACCCAUGUAUGGAUGGAUAGGUGCGUACGUCAAUUCCAUCACGUAUGGUGUCAUAGACGCCUUCUAUAUCCCAGGAAUAUUUCCAUAUAAAUGACUAUCCACCAUUCCUGUGGAUGAAAAAUAUUCGCUACGCAUAAAAAACGGGAAUUAACCUCAUGCAGUUUAAAAAGGAUUAAAGCUUCGACAAUUGGAUGCGAUAAAGGAUCAAGAUGUCAAGCACUGGGAAGAUUGGAUCGGGAGAAUUUCAAAUUAUGAGAUUAAAGAGAGUACUGGUUCUCCUGGCGCUCGUGUUUCCUUCAAAUGCCUUCUACUCUUGGCUAUCUUUGACUUUAUCUGCAUUAUCAACAAAAAAUACUAGAGUCAAGAAUAGUGAGAGAGAGGAAAUCAAGAAAAGGAAUACUUUCUUCACUUUGCUAAGACUCACCCCUAGGUACUUUUCUCUCCUCAACUGGAAAUCAAUAUUGACCCUAUAUUCUAGGGGUAGUUCUACAAACAAACCUGAACCUUGAUCAUGGGUUACAAGUCCAGUUCAGUUACACAGGGUGAAACGUUCAUCUAGAUUCCACACUUAAGGGAUUGCCAGGAGAAGAAUUUACUUGAGAUCCCAGGCUCUGUCAAUAGAAGCAGGGAUCACGGUGUCUCCAGGAAGUGGUACCAACUUUG